GAUGAACGCUGGCGGCGUGCCUAAUACAUGCAAGUCGAGCGAACAGACGAGGAGCUUGCUCCUCUGACGUAGCGGCGGACGGGUGAGUAACACGUGGAUAACCUACCUAUAAGACUGGGAUAACUUCGGGAAACCGGAGCUAAUACCGGAUAAUAUAUUGAACCGCAUGGUUCAAUAGUGAAAGACGGUUUUGCUGUCACUUAUAGAUGGAUCCGCGCCGCAUUAGCUAGUUGGUAAGGUAACGGCUUACCAAGGCAACGAUGCGUAGCCGACCUGAGAGGGUGAUCGGCCACACUGGAACUGAGACACGGUCCAGACUCCUACGGGAGGCAGCAGUAGGGAAUCUUCCGCAAUGGGCGAAAGCCUGACGGAGCAACGCCGCGUGAGUGAUGAAGGUCUUCGGAUCUUAAAACUCUGUUAUUAGGGAAGAACAAAUGUGUAAGUAACUAUGCACGUCUUGACGGUACCUAAUCAGAAAGCCACGGCUAACUACGUG
Molecule: ribosomal RNA, 496 nt
Filed under: uncultured bacterium
Lineage: Bacteria
Description: partial 16S ribosomal RNA
Rfam family: Bacterial small subunit ribosomal RNA
Source: RNAcentral